GUGAGCAUUGUGCCCAGCAGCCACGCUGGCAUGCACUACACGCCCAGAGGACGCCUAGACAGCAACAAUCUCUUUCUUAUCUUUUUUUUUUUUCCUUCAUCUUUUUUUCCUACUUGGCAACAAAUUU
Long non-coding RNA from Ipomoea nil (Japanese morning glory), 127 nucleotides. RefSeq lists it as uncharacterized. The transcript has 3 exons. NCBI's taxonomy places the organism in Eukaryota, Viridiplantae, Streptophyta, Magnoliopsida, Solanales, Convolvulaceae. The record is from RefSeq and is a predicted model, not a curated record.